CUGGAGAUGCAAUAGUCCCUGGUACCUGUACUACAGAAGAGGCAGUUUGUGGAACAGCAGGGAAAUGUAAAUCUGCAUGUGAACCAAAGCAGGAGGCUACAACGACAGCUGCGUCAGAAAAUGCUGACAACGGAAGUGUUAAACUCGGAUUAUCUACACUUGUAUUGGCAUUUGGUGUCCUAACAAGGAUGUUUCUACAAUACUGAUUGUUGACUGUGAAUACAAGUUUGUCAUCCU
Molecule: long non-coding RNA, 237 nt
Organism: Ylistrum balloti
Lineage: Eukaryota; Metazoa; Mollusca; Bivalvia; Pectinida; Pectinidae
Exons: 4
Source: RefSeq, a predicted model, not a curated record